This 87-nucleotide transfer RNA is filed under the name Candidatus Methanomethylophilaceae archaeon. RNAcentral's name for it is "tRNA-Leu". It matches the Rfam family "tRNA". From Rfam's summary of the family: Transfer RNA (tRNA) molecules are approximately 80 nucleotides in length. Their secondary structure includes four short double-helical elements and three loops (D, anti-codon, and T loops). Further hydrogen bonds mediate the characteristic L-shaped molecular structure. tRNAs have two regions of fundamental functional importance: the anti-codon, which is responsible for specific mRNA codon recognition, and the 3' end, to which the tRNAs corresponding amino acid is attached (by aminoacyl-tRNA synthetases). tRNAs cope with the degeneracy of the genetic code in two manners: having more than one tRNA (with a specific anti-codon) for a particular amino acid; and 'wobble' base-pairing, i.e. permitting non-standard base-pairing at the 3rd anti-codon position. The record is from RNAcentral. Lineage: Archaea; Methanobacteriati; Thermoplasmatota; Thermoplasmata; Methanomassiliicoccales; Methanomethylophilaceae. RNAcentral also lists the same sequence under 1 other name.
GCGGGGGUAGCCAAGCCUGGCCAAAGGCGCAGGACUUAGGAUCCUGUCUUCAGCGGUUCGAGGGUUCAAAUCCCUUCCCCCGCACCA